RNAcentral lists this ribosomal RNA (858 nucleotides) under Triticum aestivum (bread wheat). RNAcentral describes it as "partial small subunit ribosomal RNA". Lineage: Eukaryota; Viridiplantae; Streptophyta; Magnoliopsida; Poales; Poaceae. The record is from RNAcentral.
AUGGUGAGGCUCAACGCCGACCUGAUAUGGAAGAGCCCGCACUUCUUCAACGCCAUCAAGGAGCGCGAGCUCGACCUCCGAGGCAACAAGAUCGCCAUCAUCGAGAACAUCGGCGCCACCGAGGACCAGUUUGACACUAUUGACUUGUCGGACAACGAGAUUGUCAAGCUUGAGAACUUCCCUUUCAUGAAUCGCCUUGGCACUCUGUUAAUCAACAACAACAGAAUUACACGUAUCAAUCCCAACCUUGGUGAGUUUUUACCCAAGAUGCAUACUUUGGUGCUGACGAACAAUCGCCUUACAAGUCUUGCGGAGAUUGACCCCCUGGCCUCUCUUCCAAAGCUGCAAUUUCUCAGCUUACUGGAUAAUACCGUAACUAAGCAACCAGAUUACCGGUUAUAUGUGAUCCACAAACUGAAGCAUCUGCGUUUGCUGGACUUCAAGAAAGUGAAACAACAGGAGAGAGCUGACGCAGCACAAAAGUUCCACUCAAAGGAGGCAGAGGAGGCGGCAAAGAAGGUUGCUGCCAAAGCUUAUACCCCAGUAGUGAUGGAUGCUCAAGGUACCACAAAAGACCAGGGCCCUAAAGUAGUCGCUCCAACGCCUGCACAAAUCACAGCUAUCAAGGCUGCUAUCAUUAACUCGCAGACGCUUGACGAAGUUACAAGGCUUGAGAAGGCAUUGAGCACUGGCCAAGUUCCUGCUGAGUUUGCGCUCCCCAAGCCUGACACCAACAUGGCUGAGGCGUCAGAGGAAGCUGAAGCUGAGAAGAUGGAGACAGAUGGCCAGGACCAGGAGGAGGAUGGGGCUGAUGAGCAGAAGCAAGCAGAUGAAAGCACCCCGAUUCAGGAGGAUUGA